Molecule: ribosomal RNA, 150 nt
Filed under: Dunaliella salina
Lineage: Eukaryota; Viridiplantae; Chlorophyta; Chlorophyceae; Chlamydomonadales; Dunaliellaceae
Description: small subunit ribosomal RNA
Source: RNAcentral
ACCAAGCCAAAGAGAGAAAGUGUAUAAAGAUAAAUAUAAAUUAGAUAGAAAGAACACGAGGGUUUGAUUCAAUGCUCCGUAAGCAUGCAACAAUAAACGGACAGACACAUGCAAGGUCUAUAAAAUGAUCGUAAAGGUGAGUAACAACGC